CUCCUCCUCCGCUCCGGCCGGAGGCCGCCGACGGCUCCGCCGCUCCCACCUAAAGACCCCUCAGGUGCCGGCUCCAGAGAAGAAGCCUCAGCUGCAGCCCCCGAGGCCAAGGCCUCCCGGCCUCAAGGUCCGUCCUCAGAAGCGGCCGCGGGGCCCGUCCUGAGCCCUCCUGCUCUCCCGUCUUACUCAGGAACACACAGUGGGGCCGGGCCCCCCUCCCCUGACAGAACUGGGCCUUGGCCUCACUCUGGAUGCUCAGUCCUUGUUCUCACGUGUUUAAGCACCUCCAUGGGGCUGCUCGUGCCCCCCCCGACCCUGGUUUGGAGUUUUGCCCUUGGUUUUUACCGUGUCUGUGACAUUUCCCUGUCGAUGAGUAAAGACUCGCGCGUCCUGCUCUGUGUUGUGCA
Long non-coding RNA from Melopsittacus undulatus (budgerigar), 407 nucleotides. RefSeq lists it as uncharacterized. The record is from RefSeq and is a predicted model, not a curated record. The transcript is spliced from 2 exons. NCBI's taxonomy places the organism in Eukaryota, Metazoa, Chordata, Aves, Psittaciformes, Psittaculidae.